This 253-nucleotide ribosomal RNA is filed under the name uncultured bacterium. RNAcentral describes it as "partial 16S ribosomal RNA". It matches the Rfam family "Bacterial small subunit ribosomal RNA", at positions 524 to 776 of the family's 1533-position model. The record is from RNAcentral.
UACGGAGGAUCCAAGCGUUAUCCGGAUUUAUUGGGUUUAAAGGGUGCGUAGGCGGAUUGAUAAGUUAGAGGUGAAAUGUCCGAGCUCAACUCGGGAACUGCCUCUAAUACUGUUGAUCUAGAGAGUAGAUGCGGUAGGCGGAAUGUAUGGUGUAGCGGUGAAAUGCUUAGAGAUCAUACAGAACACCGAUUGCGAAGGCAGCUUACCAAUCUAUCUCUGACGUUGAGGCACGAAAGCGUGGGGAGCAAACAGG